UCCAGAUUGAAUAUAUUAAAACACACAAGAAGUAAAAGUAAAACUGAAAACUGGGUUCAUGAGAAUAAAACAAAACUUAUACCAUCAAAGAUUUAACCGUAAGAAACCCCCAGCAUUCCCAAUGAUUAGAAAAAUCGAAUUUGAUAACAUUGUACCUUUUUUUUAUUUUUUAUUUAACGGUAAAAGGGAAUUCAUUUCACAACAAACCAAAACAUAGAAGUUACAAGCCAAUUGCAAUCAUAUGAGAAAUUGGUAUCUCUAUAACAAUGUAAUAUUUGAACUCCAAUUAUCGAAAUCCAACUAACAAAUACACUAAUAUCUGUACACAAAUAAAAUAACCCAAUAAUUUAGCAAGAAUGAAAAGGAAGUAAUAUGAACAGAGAGAGAUGUAUAAAGACCCAACCCCUGGCAUG
This 413-nucleotide long non-coding RNA is filed under the name Malus domestica (apple). RNAcentral's name for it is "long non-coding RNA (MDOM_LNC014514)". The record is from RNAcentral. Lineage: Eukaryota; Viridiplantae; Streptophyta; Magnoliopsida; Rosales; Rosaceae.